Molecule: ribosomal RNA, 500 nt
Filed under: uncultured bacterium
Lineage: Bacteria
Description: bacterial SSU rRNA
Rfam family: Bacterial small subunit ribosomal RNA
Source: RNAcentral
AGAGUUUGAUCAUGGCUCAGAUUGAACGCUGGCGGCAUGCCUUACACAUGCAAGUCGAACGGCAGCACGGGGGCAACCCUGGUGGCGAGUGGCGAACGGGUGAGUAAUACAUCGGAACGUGUCCUCUUGUGGGGGAUAACCAGUCGAAAGAUUGGCUAAUACCGCAUGAGAUCGCAAGAUGAAAGCGGGGGACCGCAAGGCCUCGCGCGAGAGGAGCGGCCGAUGUCGGAUUAGCUAGUUGGUGGGGUAAAAGCCUACCAAGGCGACGAUCCGUAGCUGGUCUGAGAGGACGACCAGCCACACUGGGACUGAGACACGGCCCAGACUCCUACGGGAGGCAGCAGUGGGGAAUUUUGGACAAUGGGCGCAAGCCUGAUCCAGCCAUGCCGCGUGUGUGAAGAAGGCCUUCGGGUUGUAAAGCACUUUCGGACGGAACGAAAUCGCGCGGUUGAAUAUUCCGCGUGGAUGACGGUACCGUAAGAAGAAGCACCGGCUAACUA